UGGAUCGAUGAUGACCAGUGAUCGUGUAUGUGUUCAUACAUGAUGAAUAUGUUCCUGGAGCUCUGAGGUCCAC
Sorex fumeus (smoky shrew) is the source of this 73-nucleotide small nucleolar RNA. RefSeq annotates it as small nucleolar RNA SNORD113/SNORD114 family. The transcript has a single exon. NCBI's taxonomy places the organism in Eukaryota, Metazoa, Chordata, Mammalia, Eulipotyphla, Soricidae. The record is from RefSeq and is a predicted model, not a curated record.